GGGUUAAUUAUGGUGUUGUAAGUCUUUUCAUAGGUGGACUUCCUAAACCAAUGGCCAAUGUAAUAUUCUGCAUUGAUGUUCAGAAAUUUCAUUGCAGUUAUGGCAUGCGUGCAAGGAAUGCCAGUAAUUGCCCAUUUUCUACAUGUGCAGUCCAUGGUCUCCACAUUGACAACAAAUUGGUGGCCAAAUUGUGAAAUAUGUAUAACUUCAAAUAAUUUCUCUCUUGACCACCUGUAUUUAACACAAAAUUUAGAACACAUUUAGGUGGAUCAAGAUAAAUGCCUAAAAUGAAUUGUCACAGAGUUUAUAAAACUUACCUUGGUAACCAAUAUCUACCUAACCAUGGCUCCUUCUGAAAUCUGUUCCAAACCUUAGGGCAGACUAAAGCUUGAUAUUG
RNAcentral lists this long non-coding RNA (397 nucleotides) under Vigna radiata. Its description in RNAcentral is "long non-coding RNA (VRAD_LNC010535)". The record is from RNAcentral. Lineage: Eukaryota; Viridiplantae; Streptophyta; Magnoliopsida; Fabales; Fabaceae.